RNAcentral lists this ribosomal RNA (406 nucleotides) under uncultured bacterium. Its description in RNAcentral is "partial 16S ribosomal RNA". It matches the Rfam family "Bacterial small subunit ribosomal RNA", at positions 30 to 526 of the family's 1533-position model. The record is from RNAcentral.
AUUGAACGCUGGCGGCAGGCCUAACACAUGCAAGUCGAACGAGUGGCGGACGGGUGAGUAAUGUCUGGGAAACUGCAUGAUGGAGGGGGAUAACUACUGGGAACGGUAGCUAAUACCGCCUACCAUCGGAUGUGCCCAGAUGGGAUUAGCUAGUAGGUGGGGUAAAGGCUCAACUCGGCGACGAUCCCUAGCUGGUCUGAGAGGAUGACCAGCCACACUGGAACUGAGAGACGGUCCAGACUCCUACGUGAGACAGAAGUGGUGAAUAUUGCACAAUGAGCGCAAGCCUUAUGCAGCCAUGCCGCUUGUAUUAAGAAGGCCUUCGGGUUGUAAAGUACUUUCAGCGGGGAGUCGUUACCCGCAGAAGAAGCACCGGCUAACUCCGUGCCAGCAGCCGCGGUAAUUC